UUGCCAGACUCCUACGGGAGGCAGCAGUGAGGAAUAUUGGUCAAUGGCCGGAAGGCUGAACCAGCCAAGCCGCGUGAAGGACGAAGGUGCCAAGCAUUGUAAACUUCUUUUGUCAAGGGACAAAAUCAGGCUCGAGAGCCUGACCGAGGGUACUUGAAGAAAAAGCAUCGGCUAACUCCGUGCCAGCAGCCGCGGUAAUACGGAGGAUGCGAGCGUUAUCCGGAUUUAUUGGGUUUAAAGGGUGCGUAGGCGGCAUUAUAAGUUAGUGGUAAAAUAUUGGGGCUUCACCUCACUACGCCAUUAAUACUGUAGAGCUAGAGAACAGACGAGGUAGGCGGAAUAAGUUAAGUAGCGGUGAAAUGCAUAGAUAUAACUUAGAACACCGAUAGCGAAGGCAGCUUACCAGACUGAGUCUGACGCUGAUGCACGAGAGCAUGGGUAGCGAACAGGAUUAGAUACCCCUGUAU
This 467-nucleotide ribosomal RNA is filed under the name uncultured bacterium. RNAcentral's name for it is "partial 16S ribosomal RNA". It matches the Rfam family "Bacterial small subunit ribosomal RNA", at positions 328 to 793 of the family's 1533-position model. The record is from RNAcentral.